RNAcentral lists this ribosomal RNA (460 nucleotides) under uncultured bacterium. RNAcentral's name for it is "partial 16S ribosomal RNA". It matches the Rfam family "Bacterial small subunit ribosomal RNA", at positions 338 to 795 of the family's 1533-position model. The record is from RNAcentral.
CCUACCGGAGGCAGCAGUGAGGAAUAUUGGUCAAUGGGCGCGAGCCUGAACCAGCCAAGUAGCGUGAAGGAUGACGGCCCUACGGGUUGUAAACUUCUUUUAUAAAGGAAUAAAGUGAGGCACGUGUGCCUUUUUGUAUGUACUUUAUGAAUAAGGAUCGGCUAACUCCGUGCCAGCAGCCGCGGUAAUACGGAGGAUCCGAGCGUUAUCCGGAUUUAUUGGGUUUAAAGGGAGCGUAGAUGGGUUGUUAAGUCAGUGGUGAAAGUUUGCGGCUCAACCGUAAAAUUGCAGUUGAUACUGGCAGUCUUGAGUACAGUUGAGGUAGGCGGAAUUCGUGGUGUAGCGGUGAAAUGCUUAGAUAUCACGAAGAACUCCGAUUGCGAAGGCAGCUUGCUAAGCUACCACUGACGUUGAUGCACGAAAGUGUGGGUAUCAAACAGGAUUAGAUACCCCAGUAGUC